CAAGAGGAGCUUGCUCCUCAAACUUAGUGGCGGACGGGUGAGUAACGUGUGGGCAACCUGCCUUUUACAGGGGAAUAAUCACUGGAAACGGUGACUAAUACCGCAUACGAUCUUUGGAAGGCAUCUUCUGGAGAGGAAAGGAGCAAUCCGGUAAAAGAUGGGCCCGCAUCUGAUUAGCUAGUUGGUGAGAUAAUAGCCCACCAAGGCAACGAUCAGUAGCCGACCUGAGAGGGUGAUCGGCCACAUUGGGACUGAGACACGGCCCAAACUCC
Molecule: ribosomal RNA, 272 nt
Filed under: uncultured Eubacteriales bacterium
Lineage: Bacteria; Bacillati; Bacillota; Clostridia; Eubacteriales
Description: uncultured Clostridiales bacterium partial 16S ribosomal RNA
Rfam family: Bacterial small subunit ribosomal RNA
Source: RNAcentral